UACGAAGGGGGCGAGCGUUAUUCGGAAUCACUGGGCGUAAAGCGUGCGUAGGCGGUUUUGAAAGUUGGAAGUGAAAGCCCAGGGCUCAACCCUGGAAUUGCUCUCAAAACUACAAGACUCGGAUUCGGGAGAGGAUAGCGGAAUUGUCAGUGUAGCAGUGAAAUGCGUAGAUAUUGACAGGAACACCAGUGGCGCAAGCGGCUAUCUGGAUCGACAUCGACGCUGAGGCACGAAAGCGUGGGGAUCAAACAGG
Molecule: ribosomal RNA, 253 nt
Filed under: uncultured bacterium
Lineage: Bacteria
Description: partial 16S ribosomal RNA
Rfam family: Bacterial small subunit ribosomal RNA
Source: RNAcentral